Molecule: ribosomal RNA, 674 nt
Filed under: uncultured equine intestinal eubacterium sp. CW11
Lineage: Bacteria
Description: bacterial SSU rRNA
Rfam family: Bacterial small subunit ribosomal RNA
Source: RNAcentral
ACGCAGUAAACGAUGAUAACUAACCGUUGGGCAGCAAUGUUCAGUGGCCAAGCGAAAGCGAUAAGUUAUCCACCUGGGGAGUACGUCGGCAACGAUGAAACUCAAAGGAAUUGACGGGGGCCCGCACAAGCGGAGGAACAUGUGGUUUAAUUCGAUGAUACGCGAGGAACCUUACCCGGGCUCGAACGGCACAGGAAGAGAUCCAGAGAUGGUGACGCCAGCAAUGGUCUGUGUCGAGGUGCUGCAUGGUUGUCGUCAGCUCGUGCCGUGAGGUGUCGGCUUAAGUGCCAUAACGAGCGCAACCCUUGUCGUCAGUUGCCAGCAUGUAAAGAUGGGGACUCUGACGAGACUGCCACCGCAAGGUGUGAGGAAGGGGGGGAUGACGUCAAAUCAGCACGGCCCUUACGUCCGGGGCGACACACGUGUUACAAUGGGGAGUACAGAGGGCAGCCACCUGGUGACAGGGAGCGAAUCCCGAAAACUCUCCUCAGUUCGGACUGGAGUCUGCAACUCGACUCCACGAAGUUGGAUUCGCUAGUAAUCGCGCAUCAGCCAUGGCGCGGUGAAUACGUUCCCGGGCCUUGUACACACCGCCCGUCAAGCCAUGGAAGCUGGGAGCGCCUGAAGUCCGAGACCGCGAGGAUCGGCCUAAGGUGAGACUGGUAACUGGGGCU